UACGUAGGGUGCAAGCGUUAAUCGGAAUUACUGGGCGUAAAGCGUGCGCAGGCGGUUUUGUAAGUCUGAUGUGAAAUCCCCGGGCUCAACCUGGGAAUUGCAUUGGAGACUGCAAGGCUAGAAUCUGGCAGAGGGGGGUAGAAUUCCACGUGUAGCAGUGAAAUGCGUAGAGAUGUGGAGGAACACCGAUGGCGAAGGCAGCCCCCUGGGUCAAGAUUGACGCUCAUGCACGAAAGCGUGGGGACCAAACAGG
Molecule: ribosomal RNA, 253 nt
Filed under: uncultured bacterium
Lineage: Bacteria
Description: partial 16S ribosomal RNA
Rfam family: Bacterial small subunit ribosomal RNA
Source: RNAcentral